This 3688-nucleotide long non-coding RNA is filed under the name Podarcis lilfordi (Lilford's wall lizard). The stretch from base 2320 to 2371 matches the Rfam family "tRNA", at positions 8 to 63 of the family's 71-position model. The record is from RNAcentral. Lineage: Eukaryota; Metazoa; Chordata; Lepidosauria; Squamata; Lacertidae.
GGGAGAAAAGCAAUGGCAAACCUAGACAGCAUCUUAAAAAGCAGAGCCAUGGUUUUCCCAGUAGUGAUGUAUGGAAGUGAGAACUGGACCAUAAGGAAGGCUGAUCGCUGAAGAAUUGAUGCUUUUGAAUUAUGGUGCUGGAGGAGACUCUUGAGAGUCCCAUGGACUGUAAGAAGAUCAAACUGAUCCAUUCUGAAGGAAAUCAGCCCUGAGUGCUCACUGGAAGGACAGAUCCUGAAGCUGAGGCUCCAAUACUUUGGCCACCUCAUGAGAAGAGAAGACUCCUGGAAAAGACCCUGAUGUUGGGAAAGAUGGAGGGCACAAAGAGAAGGGGACAACAGAGGACGAGAUGGUUGGACAGUGUUCUCGAAGCUACAAACAUGAGUCUGACCAAACUGUGGGAGGCAGUGGAAGACAGAAGUGCCUGGCGUGCUCUGGUCCAUGGGGUCACGAAGAGUCAGACACUACUAAACAACAACCCUUGAUUGGUGGGGUAUAAAUAAAGUUACUACUACUACUACUAAAUCCAGGAAUCAUGGGGAGGACCUGGCACCCAGGAAUUUAGGGGAAUCUAGCCCCCCACAAACUCAUAACAAUAUUCUGCUGGAGAUGUUUUGCUUGAGCUUUGCAUUACAGAAUCAAAAGUUUUGCAGGAUUUUUAUUGUGGGCAUCACCUGGAAUGAACAGAUCCAUGUUCCCUGACCCCAGAUGAAUGCAUUUUGUAAGACUGCCAUACUCUGAAUGUUCUUUACUUGCUCAGAAUUCAGGGAAGCAGGUUUCGCUCCUUUGUUGUCAGUUUGCAUCAUGAUUAGCAAUGGGUGAUCAAGCUCUGAAACUCUAGGGGCCAUAAAAGGAAUGAAGCCUCCCCCCACAUUUCCCAGGACUCUGGUGGUGCUUCUUAUGUUCUGAUCUGGCAGUGUUUGCCACCUUCAUUCAUAGGAGGGCUGGAAGCACCAGAAGGAAGGUGCCAGGUGGGUGGACCCAACUGAUUAGCACAAAGGAGCGUCUGAUAUAAUUGGAGUGACAGGGACUUUGCUCAAAGGGAGCCAUUGAGAUUAGGGUUGUGUUUCUCCUGCCUGCACGAGGGAGCAGUAAUCUUCAAAAAUGUGCCACCCGAAAACAAUGAGGAGGAUUUGGGGCCCUGGCUUCGAAGUCCUGAGGGCAACUCCAGGCCCUGGUGUCUGCACUGCAGAUGCAAGUGACCUGCAAGUUCCCUGGAACCCUCAGCACCUCGCAGAAUUAAUCCGGUUAGUUAUUCUGCUUCCGUGCGUCUUUUACUGCAAGCUCCCGCAGCUGUUUCAUAGGCUAAUGUGAGACUGUCCUUGUGUUUCUCUCUGAUAAUCUGACCUGAAAACACAGAGGCUGGCUUGCUUUUCAGGGAAAAGGAUCCCUGAUGAGGAGGUGUCUUGCCCCAUUCUGAACAUGCUCCCUUAGGAUGGAGAAGUUCCCCAGGAGUUCAGGGGAACUUAUUUCCUGGUGAGGAUGCUUCGGGUGCUGCUGGUCUUAAUCUUGCCCAGCAAAAUAGCAGCAGGAUGAACGGAGAGGUUCAGAGCAAUCAAGCAGCUUCCCUUCUCUACCUCUAUUUCUAAGUAUCUGGAAGCUGCAGUUAGCACAGAAUUGCUGACAGGUGGAAGGCCUUGUCAGAGGUAGGUGACUUCAAUGUACUCUUUUUGGUGCCUACCGAAAACAUUCUUCUUUAGACAAGCCUGUCCAGAAAUGUAGAAUGUUGAUGUGUGCUUUAUUCUGUUUUUGGGUUAUUGUUAGUUUUAUUGAUCAGGUUAUAGUUUCAUUGGUCCCAGUUCGGUAGUGCUUAAAUUUUAUGCAAUGCCUAAAUAAGAAACGAAUCCGUUCUAUGAUUCUACAUGCCUUGCCCUGGGAAGGAACAAGUGGCACCAGCUGCUUUUCCUUGGCGCCAUUUGGGUUUGUACAUAACAACCUUCCCCAGCCUGCCCACUCCUGCCGGCUUGGUGUUUUGGACUACGGCUCCGUUGGGGCUCCAGGGUGGGGAAAGCAGAUGCAAAUUCCUUCCCUGCCACCCAGCCCACAGCCUGGCACAUGCAGCUACAGCACAGCUCUGGAGUGUAUUAUUUGUUCAAUAAAAUAUAUUUAUUUUACAUCUGGGAAGCCUUUUGCAUUCACCAUCACUUGUUAUGGAGUGGGAGCAGGCAGAGCUGCAUUGGCAAAUCUCUUCCUGCACAGCCGGAUUGCUGGCAACCUCCCUUAAAGAAUGUAAGAGCCUUCAUUUGAGGAAGCUGGGUUUGUUUGGCCUGGAAAAGAGACUGAGAGGUGUUAUGAUAACCAUCAUAUCUAUCCCUGGGAUAGCUCAGUCGGUAGAGCAUGAGACUCUCAGGGUUGUGGGUUUGAGCCCCAUGUUGGAAGGGAAAGAUUCCUGUAUCGCAUGGGGUUAGAUGCGAUACAGAUGCGAUAUUAGAUGACCCUUGGAGUCCCUUCCAACUCUACAAUUCUAGGAUUCUGGGGAAGCGCAGCACAGCAGCAGGAGCAAAUGGCAGCAAACAGCCAUUGCCCAAGAAGAGAGAGUGUGGCAUGGCAUGGCACAGUCAUGCAGCUGAGCGUUCCGCUGGGUGAAUGUUCCCUGAAUAAAUAGCAAUGGGGAGGGCACAAAACACAAGAGUGAGCUGUUAGUUAAAAAGCUCCCCCCCCCUCUUUUUUCCUGGAAUGAGGCACUGGAAUUAUUCCAGGGAACAGAAGGCAGAAGAGUUCCUUCUUCCCACUGUAGGGCAUGAAAUUAAAAGGAACUGCAAACUGCGAAGCAGCCAAAGUGAAGUGCAAGGCAGGUGCAGUGUAAGACAAAGGGAAGUUAUUUAGAGUUUUGAAUCAAUGCUUCCCUUCCCUUCUGUAUAAUGCUUGUCAGGUGAUUCAAAUGCAAAGCAAAAGAUGGAAUACAGAGCCCAGUCUACAUCACAUGCUCCUGAUGCUUCUCUUCUUCAAAAAGAACCCAAGGCAGAGGUUGUCUUAGGUUCGCGUGACCAUUGUGGCUGUACUGGUCAUUGCUGCAGAGGGUGCCACUACAAUGCUGUAGGAUGGAGUGCAAAAGGCAGGGGCAGCGGGGAAAUUUUUUAGUGUUGCACAGGUUGCCAAUGAAAUCUGAGAGGCCAAAGUCUGCCACUGUCCAAGGCGUGGCUGCAUAGGUUCUUUCUUGCUGGCCCAGUUCGGAUUGAAUCUGCAGCUGUAAAAGAAGAAUCUCUAAAUAGAUAAAUCACCCAGCUUGAACUUGGCACUUUUUGAAUUUGUGCAACAACAAUAAAAAGUGCGCUCAACCAGGCGCUCAACAAUUUGUAUUGAUUUUUAGACAGGGUUUACUCUCUCUUCUGUUAUUGCUUUGUUCUGCAUUAGGCAGCAGGAGUUAUUCUGGCUAAGAGAAGGUUGGAUAGUGAUCUGUUAAGAAAAUGGUGUGGUUAGUUUUGGCUAGGCAAACGACAACAGUUGUGGCCACAAGAAUCCACAGCCAGGGGCAUUUGAGAAACAUUUGCAUUUUAGUCUCACUCUUAGGUGCUUGCAGAUAAUGGUGAUGAUCAGGGAUCCUAGGGAGAAGACGUGCAUUUCCAAGAAGAGCUUUUUGGACUGCAGACACAUUGAAACCACCUGAUUUAUUAUUACUAUUUUAAGAUUUUGCAAUUUAGCAACACCCAUUUAGUGCAGCAAAGUAUAAGUAAGUGGCAUUACAAGU